Long non-coding RNA from Oreochromis aureus, 507 nucleotides. The record is from Ensembl. NCBI's taxonomy places the organism in Eukaryota, Metazoa, Chordata, Actinopteri, Cichliformes, Cichlidae.
CCAGACAGCAGAAGGCGUUUCAGAAGGAAAAGCUUUUAAUUUGAAGGGAAAGGACUCUGUGAUGCCAGGUGAAGAUGCACAGCCUCAUGUUUUGAGCCACAAUUUGGACCCCUCUCUCUGGCAGCAGUUUGCCCAGGGUUGAAAUGACUCUCUCUUCGACUGGAAUACAGUAUGUUUCUAAUGCACCUCAACCCAAAUGACUGAUGGCACAGUCUCUCCAAAGAGCUGGAAGAUGCCUAUUUCUAGCUCCAUGACCAUAUUUGGCACUGACCUCAGGAAAAGGAAAUAAUGCUACCCAUGUCACCCUCCCUUCUUUGCUGGUUAUUUUUGACCAUCCCCCUUACAGCUCCCUUAACCCCCAAGCUCUUUUGUACUCCUUUUGAUAAACAUCAAAUGGCCUUUUUAAAAGAAAAGAAAAAACUCCUUACAGAAUGACUUUUAUGGUCCGAAGAGUCUAAGCAGGAGAGACUUCUGAGAUGAGUGCAGUCAUGUACAUUAAUGUAUCCC